GGCAGUGGUGGCUCAAUGGUUAAGGCUUUGGGUUACAGACCUUGGUCAGGGGUUCAAGCCCCAGCACUACCA
Ameiurus melas (black bullhead) is the source of this 72-nucleotide non-coding RNA. NCBI's taxonomy places the organism in Eukaryota, Metazoa, Chordata, Actinopteri, Siluriformes, Ictaluridae. The record is from the annotation of a GenBank genome assembly.